AGAAGUGUACAUGGUUGGUGACUGAGACCCACCCUGGAAAUGGCCUCCUGGCAUAGCGAUAACGCUUUGUCUCCUUCCUUCCUAGCUCGGCCUACAAAAAAAGUGUCAAUAAUCAAUGUUGUUCUCUGUUUUAAAGAAUGAACUUUUGUUAUAGGAAGCUGAGGCAACAAAUUAAAGAAAAUCAUUCAAAGCAACACAAGGGUUACCUGCAAUAGGCAUCCCUAAUUUUGAACUGAUAGACUAGAGAGAAGGCAGCUAAUCAACAGGACCUCACUAACUCUUGGGUUAUUCUGAUCAAGUAGUUUUAUUUUACUGCUACUCUUAUAAUGCACCCAUAACAAAGGAUUCAAGUUCAGGAGUACUCACCACAACCAAAAGAUAAAGUUUAUGGAAGCAAGAGCAACUGGGGGUCGUCAACAUGGAAUUUGGCACUUCAAAAGGUCUCCACAUGACUCCCAAGCUGUUGGAAGCCAGUGCAACUCAGCCCCAGCUCUGGUCCAAACUAUGGACAAUCAACCAAGAAGGACUGGACAUGCCACUGGUGGAUGACUUCCACCAAUUAGAAUCGUUUCCCCAGCAAGUGAGACAGUGGAUACCCAAGGAUCACAGCUAGGACAAUCGGGUAAUUAUAAUAUUGCUUACUGAAAUGUUGUAGCGGACUUUGCUUUCUGAGUCUCUUGUAGUAGUACAAAAUACAGUGUAUGUAUUAUACCAUAUGGUUACUGCUCAAUUUUCAAAGCAAGGAUGGUCAAGUAGUUGAAAUAAUGCUGACCAAAAGGGCAUCAUGAUCACUUGCUUUCUGAGCUUUCAAGCAGUAGUGGAAGUGCAAUGUAUACACUACAUUAUGGAGGUUUUGCUCAAUCAUCAAUGCUAGAAUGAUCAUUAGGUCAAGUGUCUAAUGACUGAAAAGAAGUGGCAUUCCUUGUUUUCCAUGCUACUGAGUGAUGCAAACUAUGAUCUAUACAUUUUUAGACACAACUUUGUUAGACGCAAAGUUGAAACUGUUGUAUGGUAAGUAUCCUAGUUACUAAUAUGGUAAAAAAAAAUUUCCAGUAACAGAAAAUACUCCAACUUAGGGACCAUGAAAUAUUAAAUUUAUCUAGUUAAAUAAAACAUUGCAUCUUAGUAAUAGAAGUUUGAAAAUUGACUCUCAAUGACUAUAAUUCGUCAUAAUCAGAUAGUCAAAAGAAAAUUAAACUUAAAUGUUUGAAGCUUGUUAGUCUAGUCUACUAAAAAGGAAAUACUACUUUCACUGGGCUUUGCUAAGUAAAUUUAACAGAAGAUAAUGCUAAGAACAUAUCAGUUUCAUCUGAGAGAAGGAAAGAUUAACAUUAAUUCAGUUAUAUGGUCUUGUUAUUUUUUAUUUCUAUAUCUAUGAUUCAAUAC
Molecule: long non-coding RNA, 1386 nt
Filed under: Limulus polyphemus (Atlantic horseshoe crab)
Lineage: Eukaryota; Metazoa; Arthropoda; Merostomata; Xiphosura; Limulidae
Description: uncharacterized LOC111086906, transcript variant X3
Source: RNAcentral